AACGAACGCUGGCGGCAGGCUUAACACAUGCAAGUCGAGCGCCCCGCAAGGGGAGCGGCAGACGGGUGAGUAACGCGUGGGAACGUACCUUUUGGUUCGGAACAACUCCGGGAAACUGGAGUUAAUACCGGAUAAGCCCUAACGGGGAAAGAUUUAUCGCCGAAAGAUCGGCCCGCGUCUGAUUAGCUAGUUGGUGAGGUAACGGCUCACCAAGGCGACGAUCAGUAGCUGGUCUGAGAGGAUGAUCAGCCACACUGGGACUGAGACACGGCCCAGACUCCUACGGGAGGCAGCAGUGGGGAAUAUUGGACAAUGGGCGCAAGCCUGAUACAGCCAUGCCGCGUGAGUGAUGAAGGCCUUAGGGUUGUAAAGCUCUUUUGUCCGGGAAGAUAAUGACUGUACCGGAAGAAUAAGCCCCGGCUAACUUCGUG
Molecule: ribosomal RNA, 431 nt
Filed under: uncultured bacterium
Lineage: Bacteria
Description: partial 16S ribosomal RNA
Rfam family: Bacterial small subunit ribosomal RNA
Source: RNAcentral